RNAcentral lists this ribosomal RNA (429 nucleotides) under bacterium. RNAcentral describes it as "partial 16S ribosomal RNA". It matches the Rfam family "Bacterial small subunit ribosomal RNA", at positions 355 to 776 of the family's 1533-position model. The record is from RNAcentral.
UAGGGAAUCUUCGGCAAUGGGGGCAACCCUGACCGAGCAACGCCGCGUGAGUGAAGAAGGUUUUCGGAUCGUAAAGCUCUGUUGUAAGAGAAGAACGUGUGUGAGAGUGGAAAGUUCACACAGUGACGGUAACUUACCAGAAAGGGACGGCUAACUACGUGCCAGCAGCCGCGGUAAUACGUAGGUCCCGAGCGUUGUCCGGAUUUAUUGGGCGUAAAGCGAGCGCAGGCGGUUUAUUAAGUCUGAAGUUAAAGGCAGUGGCUUAACCAUUGUUCGCUUUGGAAACUGUUAAACUUGAGUGCAGAAGGGGAGAGUGGAAUUCCAUGUGUAGCGGUGAAAUGCGUAGAUAUAUGGAGGAACACCGGUGGCGAAAGCGGCUCUCUGGUCUGUAACUGACGCUGAGGCUCGAAAGCGUGGGGAGCAAACAGG